Molecule: ribosomal RNA, 462 nt
Filed under: uncultured bacterium
Lineage: Bacteria
Description: partial 16S ribosomal RNA
Rfam family: Bacterial small subunit ribosomal RNA
Source: RNAcentral
GACGAACGCUGGCGGCGUGCUUAACACAUGCAAGUCGAGCGGUAAGGCCUUUCGGGGUACACGAGCGGCGAACGGGUGAGUAACACGUGGGUGAUCUGCCCUGCACUUCGGGAUAAGCCUGGGAAACUGGGUCUAAUACCGGAUAUGACCUCCUAUCGCAUGGUGGGUGGUGGAAAGAUUUAUCGGUGCAGGAUGGGCCCGCGGCCUAUCAGCUUGUUGGUGGGGUAAUGGCCUACCAAGGCGACGACGGGUAGCCGACCUGAGAGGGUGACCGGCCACACUGGGACUGAGACACGGCCCAGACUCCUACGGGAGGCAGCAGUGGGGAAUAUUGCACAAUGGGCGAAAGCCUGAUGCAGCGACGCCGCGUGAGGGAUGACGGCCUUCGGGUUGUAAACCUCUUUCAGCAGGGACGAGGCGCAAGUGACGGUACCUGCAGAAGAAGCACCGGCUAACUACGUG